GACGAACGCUGGCGGCGUGCUUAACACAUGCAAGUCGAACGGAAAGGCCCUGCUUUUGUGGGGUGCUCGAGUGGCGAACGGGUGAGUAACACGUGAGUAACCUGCCCUUGACUUUGGGAUAACUUCAGGAAACUGGGGCUAAUACCGGAUAGGAGCUCCUGCUGCAUGGUGGGGGUUGGAAAGUUUCGGCGGUUGGGGAUGGACUCGCGGCUUAUCAGCUUGUUGGUGGGGUAGUGGCUUACCAAGGCUUUGACGAGUAGCCGGCCUGAGAGGGUGACCGGCCACAUUGGGACUGAGAUACGGCCCAGACUCCUACGGGAGGCAGCAGUGGGGAAUAUUGCACAAUGGGCGGAAGCCUGAUGCAGCAACGCCGCGUGCGGGAUGACGGCCUUCGGGUUGUAAACCGCUUUCGCCUGUGACGAAGCGUGAGUGACGGUAAUGGGUAAAGAAGCACCGGCUAACUACGU
RNAcentral lists this ribosomal RNA (467 nucleotides) under uncultured bacterium. RNAcentral describes it as "partial 16S ribosomal RNA". It matches the Rfam family "Bacterial small subunit ribosomal RNA", at positions 28 to 506 of the family's 1533-position model. The record is from RNAcentral.